ACAGCAGCCGCCGCGGGAAUACGUAGGUGGCAAGCGUUGUCCGGAAUUAUUGGGCGUAAAGGGCUCGCAGGCGGUUUCUUAAGUCUGAUGUGAAAGCCCCCGGCUCAACCGGGGAGGGUCAUUGGAAACUGGGAAACUUGAGUGCAGAAGAGGAGAGUGGAAUUCCACGUGUAGCGGUGAAAUGCGUAGAGAUGUGGAGGAACACCAGUGGCGAAGGCGACUCUCUGGUCUGUAACUGACGCUGAGGAGCGAAAGCGUGGGGAGCGAACAGGAUUAGAUACCCGCGUAGUCCCUGUCUCUUAUAU
RNAcentral lists this ribosomal RNA (305 nucleotides) under uncultured bacterium. Its description in RNAcentral is "partial 16S ribosomal RNA". It matches the Rfam family "Bacterial small subunit ribosomal RNA", at positions 508 to 809 of the family's 1533-position model. The record is from RNAcentral.